AAAUUGCUGGAGCCCCAACCUAGACUGCACUCUCAGGACAUCCCCUCCCCAUACCUGACCCUUACUUGUGGCCCUGAGUGGCCUAAGGGCUCCAGGUCACACUGUCCAGUUUCCUGGGUACUGCAUGUGGGGAUUCAUUCGACUUGGCAUCUGGGAAGUUUUAGAAUUAAUCAAUGACUUGCAAGUAGUUCUCAGUUCAAAUGCACCUCCUCAGUGAAGCCCUUUCUGAUGCCCCAUCCACUAACAUGCAUGCCCUUGUCCUCCCUCUAAGCAUUUCUUUGUUAUUAACUGUCUGUGAACUUGCCUAAUUGCUUUCCUCUUCGAGUCUUAGAUUCAGACAGUGUUGGCUUCCGUAGUUCCUACUCACUUACAGCCAGGUGGGAAGACCUUAAAGAGGAAGACGCUGAGGAACAGAAGAGCCAUUGUUCAUUGCCUCCAAACCCUGCCAAGUACCUGUUGAGAUCACAACUUUCUGUAGAAAACCUGGGGCUUUUGCCAUUGGGAGAAGUAGGUUGCCUAAGCCACUUCCCAGACUUCUUGUGAGAUUGCUACAUUCACACAGGGAUCUAGGAGAUGCAUCAGACAACAAUACAGAGAUUAAAUCAGGAA
Molecule: non-coding RNA, 609 nt
Organism: Myodes glareolus (Bank vole)
Lineage: Eukaryota; Metazoa; Chordata; Mammalia; Rodentia; Cricetidae
Source: RefSeq, a predicted model, not a curated record